RNAcentral lists this long non-coding RNA (1179 nucleotides) under Ficedula albicollis (Collared flycatcher). Its description in RNAcentral is "lncRNA (ENSFALG00000028014.1)". Lineage: Eukaryota; Metazoa; Chordata; Aves; Passeriformes; Muscicapidae. The record is from RNAcentral.
AGGACCGAGGGGGUGAUGAGCUUUGGACCACUGAGUUGCUUUAGCAAUCCAAAUAAAAACAAAGGUUGGGACCUCAUUCGUAUGAAGCGGAUCCAGCUCUAGUUACCAUGACACCAUGACAAUCAACUUGUUUACUGCUUCAAGGUAUCCAUACCAUGAACAUGGUAUCAUGUUCACAUUUUGUGCAUGUGAAAAGAGAGUGGUUGCAUAUGUGAUGGGACGGGGUGUAGGACACCAAAAUUUAGCAAUACCUGUGUGUGGAAAAGAGAGGCCAGCAUCAUCUUUUGUCCUCCUUCCCCUGCCAGGACAGCCACUUUUGCUCUGGGAUACAGUCUUUACAGCCUUGAUGACAUCCAAAGAGUCUCCUCUCUGCAUGCCAGGGCAGAAAUAAUUCAUCUUUAAGACAGAAAUAUGAUCAAAAAAGUAUAUGCUGGAAAAUACUCAAACUCACUUUGUGCAUUUAUAAAUCUGCUUCCUAUUGGAAUCAGGGGACACUGGGCAUUUUAGAUGCUAAAAUGCUUAAGUAACUUUCAGAAACCUGCUGCCAAAAUGACUAGAGAUAGAAAGUUGAAAAUUGGUAUGUUAUGACAUUCGCUUUAGCAGAGGUGCCCACGCUCUUCCCACAGCAAAAUGACUUUAAUUUGCCCAACCUCAGAGUCCUUGAAAAUGACACUCUGAGCAUUUGCUGUAAUGAUUUCUCACUAAAUUAGAAAAAUGCCCAACUAAGGAGGGAUUAUCUCUGCAUGUGGAUGUGGCAUAAUGACUGUCAAGUGCACUGAGAGCCCCACUGGGCUUUGCAAGGUACACAGGGUCUGCAUCAGAGGCCAGCGUGCAUCAGAGAAUAUUAAUACUGUCUUGUUGGGGCCAUCCAUUGUGAUACUCCACUGCUGUUCAGACAAAAUUAUACCAUAUGAGGGAAUUCUCUUUGCUACUUUACAUAUAUGAGGUACAUUUUAGAGCUGAGGAUUAGUUCCAAAUUGUCUGGCUGACAAACUCAGUCCAUAAAGGAUGCAGUCAUGAGUGUGUCCACACUCUGUAAUGUGUGCACUGACUGGGGCAGCAUCACUACAGGAUUGUUCCUUGCAGCCCACAGCCGCUGUGCCUGGGGUGAGGAUGAUAGUGAGCUUGAUUCUGCAUACCCAUAAAGUUUUCCAGCUGCUCUCUCAGAUCCCAUCAGCU